GCGCAUUAACCGCCUUGACUGUAGUAAAACGAGCUGAAGCUAGACAGGACUUUAUGGGAUGGGAACAGACGAGGGUGUCUCAGUCUUUCCAGCUCCUGACAGUUUAUUGCCGUGGAUCAGACACUCAGAGGGCUCUGGAGCUCAUGUGGACCCGCAGACACCCUGACACACCGGGACACGGGAGCGCUACAGGCUCUGGAAAAUGGGAGCGGUGAAGUGAAAACAGCAGAAGUGUGGACUGUUGGGAUGAAAGGCACCAAAAAGAGGGCAGAAGGUUCGUCUGCAUACCGGUUUGCCACGUACAUUUGAUGUGCAGAGGUGAGUGCAUUGUAGGCAAGUCUUCUGUUAAGUUCCCACAGCAGCAGGGUUCUUGUGGUUUGCUUUGUGGUUAUGCUGAGCAAGUAUUGACAAAUUUCUCACAGUUGGUCAUACUUGGACGAUACUGAUGGAGAAAUAUUGCAAAGCUGGCGCACAGGAAAAGUGGAAAAAAUCACAGAGGAGCUCAAAGAAACUGGCUUAUGGGGCACAACACAGCAGUGGUUAUUUUCAUGCACGCUGUCAUAAAAAAAAUAGUCUUCAGCAUAAUCUAUUCCAGCCCCAUUAAUAUAAAAAAAAAUGUUAAUUACAGCCCAUCUUUUAUCACUCUCACUGAAACGCUUUGCAGCAAUAUUUAGUUUGAUAAAUGUGAUUAGGCUCAUUGGUUGUUAAUGUAUUUACUUACCAUACUUAGUCCCAUUGCAGCUUAAUUGUUUUAAAACACUUAAGUACCAUCAGUUUAAUUUAAACUGCCUGCCUCUUCCAUGGUGUCACACAUUAAUUUGGCUUAAAAGGAUUAGUGUGGCAUCCAUCUUCUUAUUACACACUUUUCAGCUUUGAACUUAAAGAUUAAAAUGAGAAGGAGCAGCUUCACUGACAAUACAUUAGUGGCUUUGAGAACAGUGAACAAACAGAGAACUAGACACCUUUUGGCGUAAAUGCAACAACACAGGGUAAAAAGCAGAGUUAAUUAGACAUUGUGUUAGGUACUCUCGCGGUUUUCUGCAUUAAAUGGGCAUGAUCAUUCUUUCUUUCACACAACUGGAUCAAAGGCUUUAAAUAAUGCUUUAUUUGUUUGUAGAUGUGUUUAUUGCUGCAAGUAAUUAGACUACUACACUAGUGGAAUUUGUCAAACGUCUUGCUGUGAUAUGACACCCUUUUAUUUAGUAGAAGAGCUCUAAAAUAAAUUUACCACUGUAAUAAAUCAGUAAAUUUGGAAAUGAACUGUUUUUAACACCUGAUGCAAUGACAGAAAAGGUCAUUUUUCUGCUUUCCCAGGAUAAAAUGGUGUGAAAAGACCUCUGAAAGUGAGAAGGAGUUGGGGCGUGAUUUCACAGGCCUUUGCCAAUUGUCCACUCGGGGUUUGCAGCUCUUAACUGCUGCCGCUGCUGGGUAAUUGCAGUAGUUAGAAUGUGUCUGAUUUGAAGGCAGCGCCAGCAGCGGUUUGCUGUUAGAUGAGAUUUAUUGGUGAGAGGCUGAGAGAAACAUCUGGUGCAGAAAGUUCACGAUCACCUCUGAAGCAACAGACGGAGCUAAAGAUGCAGGAAGGGAAGAGGGAAAGACGAGUUAAGUGUGGCUGCAAAACCACACAGAGGUGAUGAGCUGCUGAAGACCGGUGGUAGACGUGUAAAACUUAUGACCACUUGGUUUUACUGGCAGUUUUCCCAUGUUUAGUCUUCAUAUGGCUUGUGGUUUUCUGACAGGGAAGACUUCCAGGAGACCUCAGAUUUGUUGGAGGUUGAAGCAUUCUAGGCGGCAAGAACAGGAAGAGAACCUGAUUCAUGUGUAAGAAUUAUGACAAGUAAAAUGCACGUUGUCUGACAUUUUUCCAAAGUAUAAAUGAUUCAUUUUUGUCAAGGUAGGACAUGUUUACUGAUUGCAUUCCAAGAUGGACUGUUUAGUUUCUAACGAGUUAAACCAGAAAUCAUAGUCCUGUUAGGUUUUGUUCAUUUAAUAGAAGAUUUGUGUACUUAGCUUAGUCUGACAGGAUGAAACACAUCCAUUCCUGUUUGGUCAAAACCUGUAGUUGAGAACAACACACUCAGAUGUGUUGAGGGACCUUGGAUGCAAACUAAUCUUUCUAAACUGGUCUUUUCAGAGGUCCAUUUGGUGUUGUCAUUACUGAAGUCUUAAAGAAUUUGUUACAAACUGCAUUUUUUAUGUGUAAAAAAAUCAGGCAUUAACUACCACUUCACUUUUUUUGGCCAUUUUCCCUCUAUCAAGGAGGUUAUGAUAUUGCUUACAUCUGUCAGAUUACAUAUAAACUACUUCACUGGUUUCUAUCAAACUAAGUGGACCAGUGGGAUAUGGGCCAAUAAGGAGCCAAUUAAGUUCUGGAACAGAUUCAGAAAAAGCGUAUGAUCCCGUAAUGAAAAACAUGGUGAGACUGGGCCUAGGUAGAAGUAUGCACCUACAGAAUGUCCUGUUUGUUUUUAAUUGCUUCAUCUAUAAAAUAUGACAAAAUUAUUAAAGCUGGAAAAACAGAGUAUCCAUAAUUUAAAAGUGGAGUCUCUCUGAUUCAUUGUCACAAAUGACUAAGAAGCAACUC
This is a long non-coding RNA of Sphaeramia orbicularis (orbiculate cardinalfish), 2584 nucleotides long. RefSeq lists it as uncharacterized. The transcript is spliced from 2 exons. The record is from RefSeq and is a predicted model, not a curated record. NCBI's taxonomy places the organism in Eukaryota, Metazoa, Chordata, Actinopteri, Kurtiformes, Apogonidae.